Molecule: long non-coding RNA, 717 nt
Organism: Zea mays
Lineage: Eukaryota; Viridiplantae; Streptophyta; Magnoliopsida; Poales; Poaceae
Exons: 2
Source: RefSeq, a predicted model, not a curated record
GUGCUGAAGGAUCUGAAGUAUGCUGACUCUCAUGAAUGGGUGAAAGUGGAGGGUGAUUCAGCAACCGUGGGGAUUACUGACUAUGCCCAGCGUGCUUUGGGUGAGCUUGUUUAUGUGGAGCUACCAGAAGUUGGCAUCAGUGUAUCCCAGGGAAAGACCUUUGCUGCUCUUGAGAGUGUGAAGGCAGCCAGCGAUACCUAUUCACCAGUGUCUAGAGAGGUGGUUGAAGUGAACGAGAAACUAAGUGACUUGCCUGGAUUGGUAAGUGUUGCAACUCAUAUUAGCCAGAACUCAUCUGAAAAUAAACUUCCGUGGGUACAUUAGUCAAUGAUUAUCAUUUCUGGUUAGGUGAAUACAAGUCCAUAUGAGAAGGGAUGGCUUAUCAAGGUCAAGCUCAGUAAUUCAGGUGAGCUCAAUUCGCUCAUGGAUGAUGAUAAGUACUCGAAAUUCUGCGAAGGCAACCAUUGAAGAAAUCAGAGUGUCUUCUGAAGACCAUGACCUGUUUUUCAAGCUUUUAUCACUGGUUAUGGUCUGGAGACCAGCUGUGACAAAUUGGCAAGGUUCAUCACAAGGAAUAAAUGUUAGGAUUUGCCAAUCCUACAAGGGCAUGGGAAAUCCAAGUUUGUGUUGUCAAUGACGUGGUCAUAUUUGAUAUUUCUUUGUAGUUGUAAUCUCGUGAAUUCCUUCUUUUUUCUUAAAAAUGACUCUUUUUGAUUC